Molecule: transfer-messenger RNA, 353 nt
Filed under: Desulfobacterales
Lineage: Bacteria; Pseudomonadati; Thermodesulfobacteriota; Desulfobacteria
Also listed under: 3 other names
Description: UBA2174 sp011042305 Standard tmRNA
Rfam family: transfer-messenger RNA
About the family: Bacterial tmRNA, also known as 10Sa RNA or SsrA, is named for its dual tRNA and mRNA-like properties. Its role is to liberate the mRNA from a stalled ribosome. To accomplish this part of the tmRNA is used as a reading frame that ends in a translation stop signal.
Source: RNAcentral
GGGGGCGAAACGGCUUCGACGGGGGUAUUGAAGCACAGGCUGCAUGCCGAGCGCUCGUCAGCUCGUAAAAACGACGGGAACUAAACAUAAUCGCAGACGAUUAUAACUACGCCGUAGCUGCUUAGGCGGCUACCGUUCCACCGGGGAGCGCCCGCGACCCUGGAUGGGGCGUCGACUAGCGGGACCGCUGUUUCGGAAGCGCCUGUGGCCGAAACGGCUAAAUCAGCAGGCUAAGCCGUCGGGAAUCCAGUCCGUGGGAGGCCCGCCGGACGAAAACCAAAACACGGAAUAAGCAUGUAGAGGUUUGUGUGGAUUACUUUCGGACGCGGGUUCAACUCCCGCCGCCUCCACCA